This 254-nucleotide ribosomal RNA is filed under the name uncultured bacterium. RNAcentral's name for it is "partial 16S ribosomal RNA". It matches the Rfam family "Bacterial small subunit ribosomal RNA", at positions 524 to 776 of the family's 1533-position model. The record is from RNAcentral.
UACGGGGGGAGCAAGCGUUGUUCGGAUUUACUGGGCGUAAAGGGCGGGUAGGCGGCCACCGCAAGUCAGUUGUGAAAUCUCUGGGCUUAACCCAGAAAGGUCAACUGAUACUGCGGGGCUAGAGUGCAGAAGGGGCAACUGGAAUUCUCGGUGUAGCGGUGAAAUGCGUAGAUAUUGGGAAGAACACCGGUGGCGAAGGCGGCUAUCUGGACUGUGAUUGACGCUGAGGCGCGAAAGCCAGGGGAGCAAACAGG